Molecule: ribosomal RNA, 253 nt
Filed under: uncultured bacterium
Lineage: Bacteria
Description: partial 16S ribosomal RNA
Rfam family: Bacterial small subunit ribosomal RNA
Source: RNAcentral
UACAGAGGGUGCGAGCGUUAAUCGGACUUACUGGGCGUAAAGCGUGCGUAGACGGUUAUCUAAGUCGGAUGUGAAAGCCCCGGGCUCAACCUGGGAAUUGCAUUCGAGACUGAAUAGCUAGGGUGCGGUAGAGGGAAGCGGAAUUUCCGGUGUAGCGGUGAAAUGCGUAGAUAUGCGGAGGAACACCGAUGGCGAAGGCAAUCCCCUGGGCCUGCACUGACGCUCAUGCACGAAAGCGUGGGGAGCAAACAGG